RNAcentral lists this ribosomal RNA (119 nucleotides) under Nicotiana attenuata. Lineage: Eukaryota; Viridiplantae; Streptophyta; Magnoliopsida; Solanales; Solanaceae. The record is from RNAcentral.
GGAUGCGAUCAUACCAGCACUAACGCACCGGAUCCCAUCAGAACUCAUAUGUUAAGCGUGCUUGGGCGAGAGUAGUACUAGGAUGGGUGACCCCCUGGGAAGUCCUCGUGUUGCAUCUG